UCAAAAUUUGUUUUGCGUUAUUUAUAAAUUAAAUACGAAAUCUUAUUUUGCAUAUUUUUGCAUAUUUAACCGGUAAGGGCAUAUAAAUGCAUGAUUUCGCGAGUUCCUCUUGUUUUUGCUUUUUUCUCAUUUGAAUAAUAUGUUUUUCUCAUUAAUUUGUAAAAUUUCUUGAAUUUGGACGAUACAAUUUUACCGUUGUAAUUUUAUCGCGGUGGUAAUAAUAACAGGAACAUGUGUUAAACCCGGUCUAGAGUGGCAUGCAAUUAUCUCCUGUUAUUAUCGCAGGUCUAUAUCUGUGGUCAAAAGUCUAACUUGAAAUAUCUUUAAUCUUAAUCUAUUAUAUUAUGGUAGACAAACCGACGCGCGAUAGUGUUGUCGUCGUCUCGUGAGUGGUAAUACGUUGUUUGUAAUAUUUUCGUUUAAAUUUUCUAUUAGUUAACACUUAACAAGCAUAAUUUUAAAAUGCCAAAAGAAAAAAAGACGACAUCCAGUCGUUUACAAAGUUAUGUUACUGAAUUUGGAACAGAAAUAUUUUCAACAGAUAACAAAAUUUUAUUUUGCAAAGUAUGUAAUACGAAAGUUUCAAGUGAAAAACGUUUUUCUAUAACUCAGCAUAUCGCAGCCGAAAAACAUCGUAAAUCUGUUAAACGCGCUGAAGAAAAAAAGGAUAAAUCUCAACAGCUUUUAUUUCAAAAUUCUUCAACAAAAUCGUCAUUCAAAACUGAUUUAUGUAAAGCUAUGUUGAGUGCUAAUAUACCUUUCAAUAAACUGAGCAAUCCACAUUUCAAAAUCUUUUUAGAGAAAUAUACAUCGGAAGUUAUACCAGAUCAAUCAACUUUACGAAAAUCAUAUGUCGAUAAUUGUUACCAGGAAACUAUUGGAGAAAUAAGAAAUAAAGUGGCAGAGAAAAAAAUUUGGGUUUCAAUUGACGAAACGACGGACGCUGAAGGACGCUAUAUUGCCUCCGUUAUAAUCGGAACACUACUCACGGAUCGGCCAGGUGAAAUUUUUUUAUUAAAUGUCGAGCAAUUAGAAAAGGCUAACCACAGUACUAUAUGCACACUAUUUGAAGAUUCGCUUUGUUUACUUUGGCCUGGUGGCAUACAUCGUAACGACGUAUUAUUAUUUUUGAGUGACGCCGCGCCCUAUAUGGUGAAGGCAGGAGAUACGUUGAAAGUGUUGUACACAAAAAUGGUCCAUGUAACAUGCACAGCACAUGGAUUAAAUAGAGUUGCCGAAUAUAUCCGUAUUCAAUAUCCCAAAGUAGAUAAACUGGUUGCUAAUGUUAAAAAACUAUUUAAAAAGGCACCAUCUCGUAUUAUAAAAUUUAAGACUGAUGCGCCUAAUAUAGCUCUACCCCCCGAACCAAUUCUGACACGAUGGGGAACAUGGAUUUCCGCUUAAAUAUAUUAUUGUGAAAACUUCCAAAUUGUAAAAAAUAUUGUUGAAAGUUUUGAUGAAGAUGAUGCGCUUUCAAUUAGAAAUGCUCAAAAAUAUUUUAAAGCACCACAGAUUAAAGGUAACUUAGCAUUUAUAAAAUCAAACUUUGAGUGCCUUCCUACGGCUAUAACACGUCUUCAAAAACAAGGCAUGGCAUUAAUAGAAGCGAUACAGAUUAUUGAAGAUGUUUCAGCCAAAUUCAAUAAUUUAAAAUGCCAGACCGGAAUCAAAAUUAACGAGAAAUUACAGACAGUUCUUACUAAAUAUAAAGGGUUUCAAAUUGUUUGCAAUAUUUCAAAAAUAUUAAACGGAGAAGAAGAAAACGUUGGUUGUUUAGAUAUAGCUGAAAACUUAACAAGUAGUGACAUGGGAUAUUUCAAGUAUGCCCCUACCACGUCAGCUGAUGUAGAGCGUUCAUUUUCUGUGUACAAAAACCUCUUGGCGCCAAAUAGGAGAUCAUUCAAGUUUGAAAAUAUAAAGAAAUCGCUGAUUGUACAAUGCAAUACUUAUUUUGCAGGCGUCGAAGAACAAUAGAACAUUGAAGCAUUUAUUAUUAUUAUUACAAGUCCAUUUUUCAAGUCAUUUUAUAAUUAGUAAUUACAAUAUUUAUUUAAAUAAAACGUUUUUUCAUCCAGUAUAU
This is an RNA transcript of Aphis gossypii (cotton aphid), 2080 nucleotides long. RefSeq lists it as uncharacterized. The transcript is spliced from 2 exons. Lineage: Eukaryota; Metazoa; Arthropoda; Insecta; Hemiptera; Aphididae. The record is from RefSeq and is a predicted model, not a curated record.